This 939-nucleotide ribosomal RNA is filed under the name Triticum aestivum (bread wheat). RNAcentral describes it as "partial small subunit ribosomal RNA". Lineage: Eukaryota; Viridiplantae; Streptophyta; Magnoliopsida; Poales; Poaceae. The record is from RNAcentral.
AUGCGCAAUCCGCCGCCGCCGCCGCCGCCGCCGCAGCCCAACAUGGGAAAUGUGCCGUUGCCUUUGCAGCCGCCGCCCGCCAGGGCAAUCGAGCAGCUGCCUUCUUGGCAGCAUCAGCAGCAGCAGCAUCCGCUGCGCCCUUGGCAGUGUCCGCAGCAAGGCGGCGGGCAUCCGCAGCCGCCUAUGCAGUGGCCGCCGCAGCAGCCGCCGCCCGCCAGGGGAUACUCGCCUUCGCCUUCGCAUUCGCAACCGCUGCUGCCCAAUGUAUCCCAGAACCUCCACUUACGGUCUGUGCCUCAGCAGCAGGGCGACGAAGGCAGCGCGAGCAGGCCACAUUCGGAUCCGUGCAGCGCCUCAAAUCUCGACCGGGGAAAACAGCCCCUACUUGAUGAUAAAACCAAGGAUCAGAUGUGGCGCGAAGUGAAUCCUCGUCUGUCUCUACCACUGUUCUUGGCUCAGAAUGCUGGGAGUAUUCAAUUGCCGAGACUUUUAACUCGUGCAGGAGCUGCCAAGGGCAGUAUUCCAGAAGGAACAAUGAUAUAUCCCUUCUCUGGACCAGGAAGAUCAGUUUUUCGGGACUUGGUCUGGAAAGUCACUGAAAAACUGCUGAAAGAUCCCCAGUGGGAUGGGCAGUGGUCCUUUGAUGAUGUUGAGGUGGCGGAUGAAAGAUGUCAGCUUCUGGUUAGGGGGAUCAGAGAUGCUAGUUCUUCGAUAUCGAGUAGAGACACAGCAGCUCUGCGAAAUCUGCGACGAGAGUUUGUUUCUUACUUUGACACCCCACCAAGAAAGUCCCCUCCUUUCUUUCCUACCUUCCUUCAGUUGCUGGACAAUAUCCCAGCUAACUAUGAUGAUGAUGAGGAGGCAAGACAAAUGUUUUGGUGGCAGAGAAAGUUUGGGAUUAUUAAUAUUUGCUACCCUAUUUCUGAAGAGGAAACAUAA